GACGAACGCUGGCGGCGUGCCUAAUACAUGCAAGUCGAGCGGACGGAUGGGAGCUUGCUCCCAGACCGUCAGCGGCGGACGGGUGAGUAACACGUGGGCAACCUGCCUGUAAGACUGGGAUAACUCCGGGAAACCGGGGCUAAUACCGGAUAACUCUUUCCCUCACAUGAGGGAAAGCUGAAAGAUGGCAUCUCGCUAUCACUUACAGAUGGGCCCGCGGCGCAUUAGCUAGUUGGUGAGGUAACGGCUCACCAAGGCGACGAUGCGUAGCCGACCUGAGAGGGUGAUCGGCCACACUGGGACUGAGACACGGCCCAGACUCCUACGGGAGGCAGCAGUAGGGAAUCUUCCGCAAUGGACGAAAGUCUGACGGAGCAACGCCGCGUGAGUGAUGAAGGUUUUCGGAUCGUAAAACUCUGUUGUCAGGGAAGAGCAAGUACCGGAGUAACUGCCGGUACCUUGACGGUACCUGACCAGAAAGCCACGGCUAACUACGUG
Molecule: ribosomal RNA, 498 nt
Filed under: uncultured bacterium
Lineage: Bacteria
Description: partial 16S ribosomal RNA
Rfam family: Bacterial small subunit ribosomal RNA
Source: RNAcentral